RNAcentral lists this ribosomal RNA (406 nucleotides) under uncultured bacterium. Its description in RNAcentral is "partial 16S ribosomal RNA". It matches the Rfam family "Bacterial small subunit ribosomal RNA", at positions 30 to 526 of the family's 1533-position model. The record is from RNAcentral.
AUUGAACGCUGGCGGCAGGCCUAACACAUGCAAGUCGAGCGAGCGGCGGACGGGUGUGUAAUGUCUGUGAAACUGCCUGAUGUGGGGGGAGAAAUACAGUAAACACGAGCUAAUACCGCACACGAUCACAUAUGCCCAGAUGGGAUUAGCUAGUAGGUGGGGUAAUGGCUCACCUAGGCGACGAUCCCCAGCUGGUCUGAGAGGAUGACCAGCCACACUGGAACUGAGACACGGUCCAGACUCCUACGGGAGGCAGCAGUGGGGAAUAUUGCACAAUGGGCGCAAGCCUGAUGCAGCCAUGCCGCGUGUGUGAAGAAGGCCUUCGGGUUGUAAAGCACUUUCAGCGGGGAGGCGUUACCCGCAGAAGAAGCACCGGCUAACUCCGUGCCAGCAGCCGCGGUAAUAC